Centrocercus urophasianus (Greater sage-grouse) is the source of this 248-nucleotide long non-coding RNA. RefSeq lists it as uncharacterized. Lineage: Eukaryota; Metazoa; Chordata; Aves; Galliformes; Phasianidae. The transcript is spliced from 3 exons. The record is from RefSeq and is a predicted model, not a curated record.
GGGGAAGUUCCUGUUUCCUUCACAGCAAGCCACUGCCUUGCCUUGGCUUUAUGGGAGAAAGCAGAUUUCAUAUUGAUAAAUCUCUCCCUUAACUAUGGUGGACCCACCACAGGCAUGAAUGUCAUCUUUACAGAGGAAGAGAAAUAACAGGAAGAAUUACAUCGUGCGGCAGUUUUUUGUUGUGGUGAAUUUAAGAUAGCCAGCAGAGGUGAAUAUUGCACCCCUCUGAGGAGAAGAAAAUCCCACAG